GAGUUUGAUCCUGGCUCAGGAUGGACGCUGGCGGCGUGCUUAACACAUGCAAGUCGAACGAAGCGGCUGCAGGGAUUCCCUUCGGGGAGGAACAGUAGCUGUCUGAGUGGCGGACGGGUGAGUAACGCGUGGGCAACCUGCCCCAUACCGGGGGAUAACAGCCGGAAACGGCUGCUAAUACCGCAUACGCCCAGGAGGCUGCAUAGCUUCCUGGGGAAAACUCCGGUGGUAUGGGAUGGGCCCGCGUCUGAUUAGCUCGUUGGCGGGGUAACGACCCACCAAGGCGACGAUCAGUAGCCGGCCUGAGAGGGCGGCCGGCCCCAUUGGGACUGAGACGGGGCCCCGACUCCUGCGGGAGGCAGCAAUGGGGAAUAUUGCACAAUGGGGGAAACCCUGAUGCAGCGACGCCGCGUGAGCAAUGAACUAUCUCGGGAUGUAAAGCUCGAUCGCCCGGGAGGAAGGUGACGUUACCUGAGGAGGAAGCCCCGGCUGACUGCGUGGCCGCAACCGGGGCUGGACGAGGGGGGGGAGCGUUAUCCGGAUUCACUGGCGUGUCACGGAAGCGUAGCAGGUUGGCCCCGUCUGCAGUGAGACCACCGCGGCGGAGAACGGGCCCAGCUUCGGACGCCGCACCCCGCGACACCAGCAGCGGCCAC
RNAcentral lists this ribosomal RNA (656 nucleotides) under uncultured bacterium. RNAcentral's name for it is "bacterial SSU rRNA". The stretch from base 1 to 539 matches the Rfam family "Bacterial small subunit ribosomal RNA", at positions 9 to 546 of the family's 1533-position model. The record is from RNAcentral.